Long non-coding RNA from Odocoileus virginianus texanus, 1565 nucleotides. RefSeq lists it as uncharacterized. NCBI's taxonomy places the organism in Eukaryota, Metazoa, Chordata, Mammalia, Artiodactyla, Cervidae. The record is from RefSeq and is a predicted model, not a curated record.
UGGGGUCACUCCAAGGUCAGCCUGAGCAAGCCGGGGGAGGAGGGCAGCCCUCCCAGCCCUGCAUCCAAGCCCAUGGGCUGAUGUGCCUGGGCAGCACCCGAGCCUUCUGCAAUAGGCAGAUAGAACGGGGGACUUCCUGGGCCUGCUGGAAGUCAGCACAGAUUAUCCCACGUGGCGGAGAAAGACUGGAGACCGUGGGAGCAGGUGGGGGGGCGGGACUGUGCGCCCAGCUCUCUGACGUCCAUCAGCAGGUGGAGCUGGCUUUGGAGAACUACUCUGACUUUGCUCCAACCCUCCCAAGGGUGGAGGGCUGCCCACCCCCUGUGGCAGGUAGACCUGAGACCAGGGGAAAGGGGAGCCGCUGAGAUCCCCCCCCGGCGGGCCACACUCCCCGAUGAGCCGACAAAGCGCACACAGCCACCUGCCCAUGGCACAAGGGGUGUCACGCUGUCACCAGCGCCUCCACUUUCGGGGAAGCUCCAGGUCGCACCGCAGACCCGACGCAGGCCCCAGGGAGGGCAGGGAGUGCAGGAGGGCGAGCUGCUGGUCCCGGGCCACGCUGCCACAGAUGGGGGACAGCCCUGAGGGAGUAUGUGAUCCCGUGGUCAGGGCCAGGGCCUCAUCUCCAUGGGGCUCACACAGACAAGGGGAAGGACUGCACACGUAGCUGGGCGUCCUUAGAGGGCUCGACCUGGCUCUCAGAACAUGCAAGGCAGAAGCUGAGACAAUCCUGGUUUAUCAUCCCUUGGAACAAGAAGUCUCCACGUAGGAAAGUUCUAGAUCAGCUCAUUCGGGGCAAGGCAACAGCCACAGGAUGUCAGCAAACAUCCAGGAGCCUUCCCUGUCUCCGCCCUGCCAGUCUCUGUGUGGUGACCGUAUCUUCCCUCGUGGUCCCAAGCUGGCUGCUGUGGCACCCUUUGAUGAAUCUGUGGUCUGGAAGCUAAGGCAGCACAGGUUAACAGCUGCAUCUAACUUUCCAUGAGUUCAUCAUUACGAUCACCAACUUCCCAACCAGAGCGCCGGGCCUCACUGCCCGCUGCCCACCGGCCCUCCUGCAGACAGUUCCACAGUCUGAGGUUCUGCUAGUGGCCACACCUCCAUUCCAGGAAAUAAAUUUCCAGUCAUCUACAAAUAUCAGGAAAUCUGAGUAAAACAAAAAGGGGGUGAUUUUCCCAUACAGAGUAGGUUGAACGAUGCCCCCUAAAACUUCAUGUCUGCCAGGAACCUCACAGUGCAACUUUAUUUGGAAAUGGGGUCAUCAGAGAGGGCCCUGAUCUGGUGUGACGUGUCCAUGUGAAAGGAGGCGUCUGGACCCAGACCUGCACUCCGCGGAUUGCUGGCAGCACCAGGAGCUAGUGAGAGGCCCAGAAGAGGCCUUCCUCACAGCCUCAGAGGGAGCCAACUCCACAGACACCUUGGCUCCGGAACGGGCCCUAGGAAACUCACACACCGCAAGAAACCCAGAGAUACAGAGGAUCUGAGCGCGUACUGAGACUGUCAGUCGUGUCCGACUCUUUUGUGACCCCGUGGACUGCAGCCCGCCAGGCUCCGGUGUCCAUGGGAUU